RNAcentral lists this RNase P RNA (328 nucleotides) under bovine gut metagenome. RNAcentral describes it as "Bacterial RNase P class A". It matches the Rfam family "Bacterial RNase P class A". From Rfam's summary of the family: Ribonuclease P (RNase P) is a ubiquitous endoribonuclease, found in archaea, bacteria and eukarya as well as chloroplasts and mitochondria. The record is from RNAcentral.
GGUGAACAGACGAUCGCGUGCCGAAAGGUAUGAGGAAAGUCCGGGCACCGCAGGGCAAGGGUGCCGGCUAACGGCCGGCGGAGGCGACUCCAGGGAGAGUGCAACAGAAAUAAACCGCCGGUGAAAGCCGGUAAGGAUGGAAAGGCGAGGUAAGAGCUCACCCGGAAGCCGGGUAACCGGUUUCCGCUGUAAACCCCACCCGGUGCAAGAUGCAAUGGAGGCAAGUCGGCGGCCCGCCGCGUUCUCCGCAAUCGCUUGAGCCCCGCGGUAACGCGGGGCCUGGAUAGAUGAUCGUCCAAUACAGAACCCGGCUUACGGUCACGCUCGU